This 393-nucleotide ribosomal RNA is filed under the name uncultured Thiobacillus sp. Its description in RNAcentral is "bacterial SSU rRNA". It matches the Rfam family "Bacterial small subunit ribosomal RNA", at positions 984 to 1381 of the family's 1533-position model. The record is from RNAcentral. Lineage: Bacteria; Pseudomonadati; Pseudomonadota; Betaproteobacteria; Nitrosomonadales; Thiobacillaceae.
CCGGAACCGUUAGUCCACGAGAUGGCUUGGUGCCCGAAAGGGAAUCGGAACACAGGUGCUGCAUGGCUGUCGUCAGCUCGUGUCGUGAGAUGUUGGGUUAAGUCCCGCAACGAGCGCAACCCUUAUCAUUAGUUGCUACGCAAGGGCACUCUAAUGAGACUGCCGGUGACAAACCGGAGGAAGGUGGGGAUGACGUCAAGUCCUCAUGGCCCUUAUGGGUAGGGCUUCACACGUCAUACAAUGGUCGGUACAGAGGGUUGCCAAGCCGCGAGGUGGAGCCAAUCCCAGAAAGCCGAUCGUAGUCCGGAUUGUUCUCUGCAACUCGAGAGCAUGAAGUCGGAAUCGCUAGUAAUCGCGGAUCAGCAUGUCGCGGUGAAUACGUUCCCGGGUCUA